AAUAUUUCAGGGGCGUUGAAUAUUUCGGUAAAUUGAGGGAUAUUUCAGGUAAAUUGUUGAGAAAGUGGGGUGGUGUGUGAUGGAGGUGGGGGGCGUUGAGCAUUUUCCUAAAACGUAUUUUGGGUGAUAGAAGCCCAUUAUUUUGAUUAGGACACAAAAAUAAAGUCUAUUACGAUGGAUCUCAUGAUUGAUGUACUGAGAUGUGUUUUGCUAAGAAUUGUUUUUUAUCAGAUAAAAAGCAUUCCAUUGGAGAUGAAUAAGCGGUAUUGGAGGAGGGAACAACCAUAAUUGAUGCUAGUGCAAUAAGACUUGAUGAAGGCGGCACUUGCCUUCAAGCUUGAAACUGAUUGACCAUGAGAGUCAUAUCACAUGAAUGAGUGUGUGGCAAUUCAUUGGGAUGACGGACGGGGUACUUACUUGAGCAAGGGGUAAGCCUUCUCUUCUCUACCUUCAUUCAAAUCAUCAAAAGGCGAAUUCCCAUAGAAAGAGGUUAGUUGCACUUAUCAAUAGCAGCGGAGUCCCCCUUUGAAAGCGCUAAUUCAAUAGCAAUCUUCUCGUCACCGCAGAAAAGUUAUUACAGGUUAAUGAGUCUUGAAGUUCAAGUUUGGGAGAAACCCCGCUCUGACAGGUCAUCACUUGAGCUAUCGAAUCGGAUUGAUGCAUGCGAGCAGGCGUAUGAAAGCUAAAAAUCAGAGCUACAACUUUUGCGUUGGAAUAAAAGCCUAUUGCCGAACUUUACUUGUCUUAAAUUGCAGAAUUCGUAAUCUGGACUUUUGUAAUAAUUUUAAGUAGCGAACCACUUGUUUUAAAAGCCCAAAAUCGAGUAGUAUAUGUUGGGAGUUUCUUUCCUUUCUUAGACACGCUGUAUUUUCAUAUUCAAAAAACAUAUAAACACUUUUUAUUUUUAUUUCAUGGAAGGCUAAUUUCAUUAGAUUAAUCCAGGAGUUCAAAGUUUCGUCAA
Molecule: long non-coding RNA, 961 nt
Organism: Cicer arietinum (chickpea)
Lineage: Eukaryota; Viridiplantae; Streptophyta; Magnoliopsida; Fabales; Fabaceae
Source: RefSeq, a predicted model, not a curated record